RNAcentral lists this ribosomal RNA (274 nucleotides) under uncultured bacterium. RNAcentral describes it as "partial 16S ribosomal RNA". It matches the Rfam family "Bacterial small subunit ribosomal RNA", at positions 523 to 796 of the family's 1533-position model. The record is from RNAcentral.
AUACGGAGGGUCCAAGCGUUAUACGGAUUCAUUGGGUUUAAAGGGUCCGCAGGCGGGAAAAUAAGUCAGUGGUGAAAGCCUACAGCUCAACUGUAGAACUGCCAUUGAUACUGUUUUUCUUGAGUAUAGAUGAAGUGGGCGGAAUAUAUCAUGUAGCGGUGAAAUGCAUAGAUAUGAUAUAGAACACCGAUUGCGAAGGCAGCUCACUAAACUAUUACUGACGCUCAGGGACGAAAGCGUGGGGAGCGAACAGGAGUAGAAACCCUAGUAGUCC